UAGAGUUUGAUCAUGGCUCAGAAUGAACGCUGGCGGCGUGCCUAACACAUGCAAGUCGAACGAGAAAUUUCUGCUUCGGCGGAAAAAGUAAAGUGGCGCACGGGUGAGUAACGCGUGGGUAACCUGCCCUUGAAUUCGGGAUAACCCCGUGAAAACGGGACUAAUACCGGAUAUCGUCCCUUUGGCUGUGGCCUUUGGGAUGAAAGGUGACCUCUUCAUGAAAGUUGCCGUUCGAGGAGGGGCCCGCGUACCAUUAGCUUGUUGGUGGGGUAAUGGCCUACCAAGGCUACGAUGGUUAGCUGGUCUGAGAGGAUGAUCAGCCACACUGGAACUGAAACACGGUCCAGACUCCUACGGGAGGCAGCAGUGAGGAAUUUUGCGCAAUGGGGGAAACCCUGACGCAGCAACGCCGCGUGAGUGAUGAAGACCUUCGGGUCGUAAAGCUCUGUCAAGUGGGAAAAAAUACUUCCGGUCAAUACCCGGAAGGANGGAAGG
Molecule: ribosomal RNA, 495 nt
Filed under: uncultured delta proteobacterium
Lineage: Bacteria; Deltaproteobacteria
Description: bacterial SSU rRNA
Rfam family: Bacterial small subunit ribosomal RNA
Source: RNAcentral